AUUGAACGCUGGCGGCGUGCCUAAUACAUGCAAGUCGAACGCAGUGGGGACGGGUGAGUAACACGUGGGUAACCUCACAUAAGAGGGGAUAACACUUGGAAACAGGUGCUAAACCGACACUGAUGGAUGGAACGGCGGUGCAUUAGCUAGUUGGGGGGGGAACGGCGUACCAAGGCCACGAGGCGUACACGACGUGUGAGGUUGAUCGGCCACACUGGGACGGAAACACGGCCCAGACUCCUACGGGAGGCCGCAGUAGGGAAUCUUCGGCAAUGGAGGAAAGUCUGACCGAGCAACGCCGCGUGAGUGACGAAGGUUUGCGGAUCGUAAAACUCUGUUGUUAGAGAAGCGGUAUCUACACAGAAAGCCACGGCUAACUACGUGCCAGCAGCCGCGGUAAUUC
RNAcentral lists this ribosomal RNA (403 nucleotides) under uncultured bacterium. Its description in RNAcentral is "partial 16S ribosomal RNA". It matches the Rfam family "Bacterial small subunit ribosomal RNA", at positions 29 to 526 of the family's 1533-position model. The record is from RNAcentral.